GAGGGUAGAGCUCAAGUGGAAGAGCACAUGCUUAGUAUGUACGAGGUCCUGGGUUCAAUCCCCGGUACCUCCU
Molecule: transfer RNA, 73 nt
Filed under: Camelus bactrianus (Bactrian camel)
Lineage: Eukaryota; Metazoa; Chordata; Mammalia; Artiodactyla; Camelidae
Also listed under: 2 other names
Rfam family: tRNA
About the family: Transfer RNA (tRNA) molecules are approximately 80 nucleotides in length.
Source: Rfam by way of RNAcentral